This 425-nucleotide ribosomal RNA is filed under the name uncultured bacterium. RNAcentral describes it as "bacterial SSU rRNA". It matches the Rfam family "Bacterial small subunit ribosomal RNA", at positions 356 to 773 of the family's 1533-position model. The record is from RNAcentral.
GGGGAAUAUUGCACAAUGGGGGAAACCCUGAUGCAGCCAUGCCGCGUGUGUGAAGAAGGCCUUCGGGUUGUAAAGCACUUUCAGUGGGGAGGAAGGGGAGCAGACUAAUAUUCUGUUUCAUUGACGUUACCCACAGAAGAAGCACCGGCUAACUCCGUGCCAGCAGCCGCGGUAAUACGGAGGGUGCAAGCGUUAAUCGGAAUAACUGGGCGUAAAGCGCACGCAGGCGGUUGGAUAAGCGAGAUGUGAAAGCCCCGGGCUCAACCUGGGAACUGCAUUUCGAACUGUCCGACUAGAGUCUUGUAGAGGGGGGUAGAAUUCCAGGUGUAGCGGUGAAAUGCGUAGAGAUCUGGAGGAAUACCGGUGGCGAAGGCGGCCCCCUGGACAAAGACUGACGCUCAGGUGCGAAAGCGUGGGGAGCAAAC